UACGGGGGGAGCAAGCGUUGUUCGGAAUUACUGGGCGUAAAGGGCGCGUAGGUGGCCUUCUAAGUCGAACGUGAAAUCCCUGGGCUCAACCCAGGAACUGCGUCCGAGACUGGGAGGCUUGAAUCCGGGAGAGGGAUGCGGAAUUCCAGGUGUAGCGGUGAAAUGCGUAGAUAUCUGGAGGAACACCGGUGGCGAAGGCGGCAUCCUGGACCGGGAUUGACACUGAGGCGCGAAAGCCAGGGGAGCAAACGGG
RNAcentral lists this ribosomal RNA (253 nucleotides) under uncultured bacterium. RNAcentral's name for it is "partial 16S ribosomal RNA". It matches the Rfam family "Bacterial small subunit ribosomal RNA", at positions 524 to 776 of the family's 1533-position model. The record is from RNAcentral.